UACAGAGGUCUCAAGCGUUGUUCGGAUUCAUUGGGCGUAAAGGGUGCGUAGGUGGCGGGGUAAGUCAGGUGUGAAAUUUCGGAGCUUAACUCCGAAACUGCAUUUGAUACUGCCUUGCUUGAGGACUGGAGAGGAGACUGGAAUUCACGGUGUAGCAGUGAAAUGCGUAGAGAUCGUGAGGAAGACCAGUGGCGAAGGCGGGUCUCUGGACAGUUCCUGACACUGAGAAGCGACAGCUAGGGGAGCAAACGGG
RNAcentral lists this ribosomal RNA (253 nucleotides) under uncultured bacterium. RNAcentral's name for it is "partial 16S ribosomal RNA". It matches the Rfam family "Bacterial small subunit ribosomal RNA", at positions 524 to 776 of the family's 1533-position model. The record is from RNAcentral.